RNAcentral lists this small nuclear RNA (107 nucleotides) under Myotis lucifugus (little brown bat). The record is from RNAcentral. Lineage: Eukaryota; Metazoa; Chordata; Mammalia; Chiroptera; Vespertilionidae.
AUACUCACUUCAGCAGCACAUACACUAAAACUGGAACUAUACAGAGAAGAUUGCAUAUCAUCCUUGCACAGGGACCAUGCUAAACUCCUGCAAAGUCCCUUUUUUUC